UGUGUAUCCUGCCUCACCCAUCUGUAAUUC
RNAcentral lists this non-coding RNA (30 nucleotides) under Mus musculus (house mouse). Lineage: Eukaryota; Metazoa; Chordata; Mammalia; Rodentia; Muridae. The record is from RNAcentral.